This 253-nucleotide ribosomal RNA is filed under the name uncultured bacterium. RNAcentral's name for it is "partial 16S ribosomal RNA". It matches the Rfam family "Bacterial small subunit ribosomal RNA", at positions 524 to 776 of the family's 1533-position model. The record is from RNAcentral.
GACAGAGGGUGCAAACGUUGCUCGGAAUCACUGGGCGUAAAGGGCGUGUAGGCGGGAAGGAAAGUCAGAUGUGAAAUCCCUGGGCUCAACCCAGGAAUUGCAUUUGAAACUCCCUUUCUUGAGUACCGGAGAGGAAAGUGGAAUUCCUGGUGUAGAGGUGAAAUUCGUAGAUAUCAGGAGGAACACCAGUGGCGAAGGCGGCUUUCUGGACGGUAACUGACGCUGAGACGCGAAAGCGUGGGGAGCAAACAGG